UAAAUGACAGUUGAUCAGUGUGCUCUGGU
RNAcentral lists this non-coding RNA (29 nucleotides) under Rattus norvegicus (Norway rat). The record is from RNAcentral. Lineage: Eukaryota; Metazoa; Chordata; Mammalia; Rodentia; Muridae.